GUCAUCUUGUUAAAGGACAGACAAUGGCUGAUUUAUUUCAAGAAGCUUUCAGUACAGCUGCAUCAGAUGAGCCCGUAGUUGAAUGUUCCUGCAGACAGCCUAGAGUUGAAUUUCAUCAGAGAUUGCAACAAGUGAUGCAGACUGAAAAAGAAAUAAGUAUGGAGUUCUUUAAGCGAAUGCAAGCAGAAUGGAGUUCCUCGCUAUGAAUCCAAGUUUAUGGAUGUGC
This is a long non-coding RNA of Dioscorea cayenensis subsp. rotundata (Guinea yam), 226 nucleotides long. RefSeq lists it as uncharacterized. Lineage: Eukaryota; Viridiplantae; Streptophyta; Magnoliopsida; Dioscoreales; Dioscoreaceae. The transcript is spliced from 3 exons. The record is from RefSeq and is a predicted model, not a curated record.